ACGAGGAAUAGGGCCACAGAGACGAGCGUAUUUAGUUACGGUGAAACGCGGUAACCUCCACCCGGAGCAAUUUCAAAUAGGCACGCGUUGAGGCGGCUCGCGGAGCGUGCGGGUAGAAAGCUUGAGCCUGGGAGUAAUCCCAGGCCUAGAGGAAUGAUUGUCAUAGCACGAGGCAGCAAUGCUAAGUGCCGUAACAGAAUCCGGCCUACCGGCCUGCUUCACUU
Molecule: RNase P RNA, 224 nt
Filed under: Undibacterium sp.
Lineage: Bacteria; Pseudomonadati; Pseudomonadota; Betaproteobacteria; Burkholderiales; Oxalobacteraceae
Description: partial RNase P RNA component class A
Rfam family: Bacterial RNase P class A
About the family: Ribonuclease P (RNase P) is a ubiquitous endoribonuclease, found in archaea, bacteria and eukarya as well as chloroplasts and mitochondria.
Source: RNAcentral